AGCGAACGCUGGCGGCAGGCUUAACACAUGCAAGUCGAACGGGCACCUUCGGGUGUCAGUGGCAGACGGGUGAGUAACACGUGGGAACGUACCCUUCGGUUCGGAAUAACUCUGGGAAACUAGAGCUAAUACCGGAUACGCCCUUUUGGGGAAAGGUUUACUGCCGAAGGAUCGGCCCGCGUCUGAUUAGCUAGUUGGUGGGGUAACGGCCUACCAAGGCGACGAUCAGUAGCUGGUCUGAGAGGAUGAUCAGCCACACUGGGACUGAGACACGGCCCAGACUCCUACGGGAGGCAGCAGUGGGGAAUAUUGGACAAUGGGCGCAAGCCUGAUCCAGCCAUGCCGCGUGAGUGAUGAAGGCCUUCGGUCGUAA
This 373-nucleotide ribosomal RNA is filed under the name uncultured bacterium. RNAcentral describes it as "bacterial SSU rRNA". It matches the Rfam family "Bacterial small subunit ribosomal RNA", at positions 29 to 428 of the family's 1533-position model. The record is from RNAcentral.